UCGUAGGUACCGCCAGGCGCGUG
Molecule: small RNA, 23 nt
Filed under: Bombyx mori (domestic silkworm)
Lineage: Eukaryota; Metazoa; Arthropoda; Insecta; Lepidoptera; Bombycidae
Description: ovarian small RNA-29166
Source: RNAcentral